RNAcentral lists this ribosomal RNA (1382 nucleotides) under Burkholderia multivorans. RNAcentral describes it as "partial 23S ribosomal RNA". It matches the Rfam family "Bacterial large subunit ribosomal RNA", at positions 1554 to 2925 of the family's 2925-position model. Lineage: Bacteria; Pseudomonadati; Pseudomonadota; Betaproteobacteria; Burkholderiales; Burkholderiaceae. The record is from RNAcentral.
AUUCAAGGGUGUGGCGCGAGCGACUUCGGUCGCGAAGCAAUUGGAAGUGGUUCCAAGAAAAGCCUCUAAGCUUCAGUCUAACGAUGACCGUACCGCAAACCGACACAGGUGGGCGAGAUGAGUAUUCUAAGGCGCUUGAGAGAACUCGGGAGAAGGAACUCGGCAAAUUGGUACCGUAACUUCGGGAUAAGGUACGCCCUUGUAGCUUGACCAGCCUGCGCUGGAAGGGUGAAGGGGUUGCAAUAAACUGGUGGCUGCGACUGUUUAAUAAAAACACAGCACUCUGCAAACACGAAAGUGGACGUAUAGGGUGUGACGCCUGCCCGGUGCCGGAAGAUUAAAUGAUGGGGUGCAAGCUCUUGAUUGAAGUCCCGGUAAACGGCGGCCGUAACUAUAACGGUCCUAAGGUAGCGAAAUUCCUUGUCGGGUAAGUUCCGACCUGCACGAAUGGCGUAACGAUGGCCACACUGUCUCCUCCCGAGACUCAGCGAAGUUGAAGUGUUUGUGAUGAUGCAAUCUACCCGCGGCUAGACGGAAAGACCCCAUGAACCUUUACUGUAGCUUUGCAUUGGACUUUGAACCGAUCUGUGUAGGAUAGGUGGGAGGCUAUGAAACCGGAACGCUAGUUUCGGUGGAGCCGUCCUUGAAAUACCACCCUGGUUUGUUUGAGGUUCUAACCUUGGUCCGUGAUCCGGAUCGGGGACAGUGCAUGGUAGGCAGUUUGACUGGGGCGGUCUCCUCCCAAAGGGUAACGGAGGAGUACGAAGGUACGCUAGGUACGGUCGGAAAUCGUGCUGAUAGUGCAAUGGCAUAAGCGUGCUUAACUGCGAGACCGACAAGUCGAGCAGGUGCGAAAGCAGGUCAUAGUGAUCCGGUGGUUCUGUAUGGAAGGGCCAUCGCUCAACGGAUAAAAGGUACUCUGGGGAUAACAGGCUGAUACCGCCCAAGAGUUCAUAUCGACGGCGGUGUUUGGCACCUCGAUGUCGGCUCAUCUCAUCCUGGGGCUGUAGCCGGUCCCAAGGGUAUGGCUGUUCGCCAUUUAAAGAGGUACGUGAGCUGGGUUUAAAACGUCGUGAGACAGUUUGGUCCCUAUCUGCCGUGGGCGUUGGAUAUUUGAAGGGGGCUGCUCCUAGUACGAGAGGACCGGAGUGGACGAACCUCUGGUGUACCGGUUGUGACGCCAGUCGCAUCGCCGGGUAGCUAUGUUCGGAAGAGAUAACCGCUGAAAGCAUCUAAGCGGGAAACUCGCCUUAAGAUGAGAUAUCCCUGGAGGCUUGACCUCCUUGAAGGGUCGUUCGAGACCAGGACGUUGAUAGGUCGGGUGUGUAAGCGCAGUAAUGCGUUCAGCUAACCGAUACUAAUUGCCCGUAAGGCUUGAUCCU